GAUCUCAAAUCAAGUAAGACUACCCGCUGAACU
This 33-nucleotide ribosomal RNA is filed under the name Mortierella alpina. RNAcentral's name for it is "partial 28S ribosomal RNA". Lineage: Eukaryota; Fungi; Mortierellomycota; Mortierellomycetes; Mortierellales; Mortierellaceae. The record is from RNAcentral.